CCUGGGGCUCGGCCUGCAGGAAUUUACAGUCUGCGCUGGAGCAGCAGGGCCAGUAGCCAUGGAGACUGCUGCGCCGGGAGCAGCGAGCCUACAGAAAGAUGUAACGCGCCGAUUGCCAUCACGGACGCGCAGGGACCUUCGCUGGGACCAUAAAAGCAGGUUCGCUUUGGAGAUGACGGAUGCAGCACAGGGGAGCAGCUCGCGUAUAAGCUGGUAGCUCAUCUACACACCAGAUCCUUGCAGAGACACGAGGCACGGGAAACGCCCUCCCUCCCCAGCCCGGCCGGGAUCGCGGCCCUCGCUGAGCCUUUCUGCACCCGCUUGGUCAGUGCCGCUCACCACCAGCGGGUCCUGGGCCCACGGGCACGUGCAUGAAGCGCUGGGGUCCUCUCAAGCCAGGCAGGAGCCAACCCCUUCCAGAGGAAGGAGAAGACCACCAUAAGCUGAAGGACAGAUGCACGUGUGGCCUGUUAUGCCCAGCACAUCCAAGGUUCACGUUCACCUUCGCGCGUUGGCUGCAGAGGAGCCCAAAGCUACGAGAGGGAGCCUCUGCGUUGCCAAGGCCCAGAGCACGAGAUACGGCUGCUUCAGGCCCACCACAGCUAAAGGGCUUCUCCUGGUGGGGGUAACACUCUCCACCAUAGUCAAUGCAAUAUAUUUAGGUAAGAAACCGAGUGGAAAAGGACCAGAGCCUACAUGAUCACCCCAGUAACCCGAGUGCAUCCCUGCCGCGCUGCGCUGAAUCGAACCAGCAACGCGGAAACCUCCCUGGCACAACCACUGCUCCAGGACAGACCGGGAGGCGUCAGAGGUGCAGAAACGAUUAAAGCUGUAAGGAUAUAUAUACCUAAAUAGAUACAUAGAGAUAUCUCAGUGGUUUCCAAGCAGUUGUCACCGUGCUGCCCACCCUGGCCAGCCAGGAUUUCAUGGCAAUGGCUGACCUAAAGCUCAGUUCCUUUAACUGAAACACGACCUCGUGCCGUGCAGAGGCGUCGGCGGCAGGAUUUGUCGGCGGAGGCCGGCGGCGCGACACCACGAGCACGAGCACGCUAUCCCGUCCAGCGCCGCGGCCGAAGGAGAACAGCGCGGUCGCGGGAACGUCCUCGUUUCUCCAUCAGCCCCUUCCCCAACCUCCGAUCCGUUUGCAAUCCACGGUUGGAUUCGCCCUGCAAACCUGCCGUCCUCGUCCCCGAGGCAAGAUGGAAACUGUCCUCCUGUUCCCACCGCACAUGGGGCGUUCGGACCCCAUCCCACGGGCUUUUAUCAUCGUGACCAGGGGAAAACUAAGCAGCCUUUUUUUUUUCCUAACCUGUCUGCUAAAUCUGGAGACAGAGCUCAAGGCACGAGGGACAGGACCUUCAGCGAUGUUGAUUUAUAACCGAGGCUCCAAAUUACAGGUUUACGCAUUAGUAUAAACACCCAUAAACCAGCCUUAAACACACAGCGCCGCAUGCAAUCAAAACGCCGAAGCGGCGGGCAGCCUCGGGAGCGACCCUGGAUGCGGAGCAACGUCCUCGCGCGGGGCCGAGCGCGUCCCGCUUCCCCCCGGGCGGAUCUCGCCCCGAAGCCCGCUCCUCCGCCGGCGGCAGCCCCUCGCGCCCCGGGGAAAGCUCGGGAGCGGCAUCGCUGCCCCGGUGCCCUUCUGGGCGAAACCGCUCCGCUUCGGCCGCGCGCAGGGCCACGGGUCCGGUCCGUCGUGCUCCAGCGCCGCGGAGGCAGCGAGGAGCUGCCGACCAUGUUGAAACGGUUACGUGGGGAGUAAUGAAAAUUUACUGCACCCGGCUCGGCGCUCCAGCCAAGAAAUAAAAGCAGAGAUCACAACAGGCAUUUUUUUAAUUUGAAGCAAAAUUAAAAAAAAAAAAAACUGCACUUAGAAAACAACAACCACAUCCACAGAUCAAAGCAGCUGCUCUGCUCGCGCUCUGGGUUUUAAGAGGCUUCUGCAGCUACAGAGAUGUUUACACAGGGAGAGAGAUGCAUACAUUGUGCUGCCUCGAUGCUGCCCCCCCUUCCUCUGGCAAAGCGUUCCCGGGAGGCGACGUGAGGUCAUCCGCAGACCCCGCGCUGUUUUCCGCAAGCUGCAAGCCUUCGGGGCAAGAGGCAAUUCAUUUCCCAUUAGCAAACCCACAUUUGCACUUGGAAGCUUCCCAUGCGCAUCCCGCCAGGGGAACGCGGGGCGGCCGGCGAGGGCGGACCCGCUGCCGCCAGCGCGCGGUCGGGCGCCGGGGGGGCUCCGGGGAGGGUCGCCCGCGCCCGCCGAGAGGACACCCCCAGCUCUAGCGUGAAUUUAAUGUCAGACGCUGUAAAGGAGCGACGUCUUCAGCACUGCCCGUGCGUUUUUGCACCACGAUGGAGCCAGAAGGGAUUUCUCAGGCUGGGCAAGAAACCCGCUGCGAAGGAGCGGGCCGACGCCAGGCUCCCAUAAGGCGGCAAAGGAGCUUAGGGCUUGCAGAGCCGUCUGUUGAACGAGAGAGGGAUGUUAGGGGAGGAAGAGGGCAGGCGGUUAAGCCACAAUGCUGGGAAUUGGGGAAUUGGUCUUCUCCUGCAGUCCACGAGGACCAGUGGCCCGACACCAUGCGUUGCCCGCGGCGGGUAGGGACAGACCUCCCUGCUGCAGCCAGAGCCGGGCACUUUUGUUAAUUAACGCUGGUGAAGGAUCCCGACACUCCGUGCUGGAAGGAGCCGGCUUGAGAAAGCAGCAGGGAAAUGUCGAUGCCCCAGUGAGGGGCGGGGUAAAAAACUUGGAACAGAAGAGACUUUUUUAACAACCGAGAGGAAAACACUGUAUUCCCAGGAAUCUGCAAACAGCCCAGGCUUGAACAACGCAGAUGAACCAGGUCGCAAGUUCUCCAGCACAGCUCCAGUUUCCCCAACCUUCAGCUUUGUCACGACGCUUCCAAGGGGAGAAAAGCAUCGAGUCCCGCUAAACGGCUGUGACGCCCGUGACGCCUUUUUUCCAGUGUCCCAGCGCCUCCCCGAAACGCCGCGUGUGGCCGAGGCCCUUGUUUGCAAGCCCCGUUUUACGGCAGGAGAAGCUGACACACGCUGGGCUGAGGUGACUGGCCCAGCGUCACCGGGAAGGUCUCCGGCAGCGCCAGGAAUAGAAGCCGAGUCCCCGUUCCCAGCUAACCACUAACCACACUUAUCCCAGAAUAAGGGUCCCUUUUUCCAGUUGAAUUUAUACAGCUUUCAAAGUGACAUAAGCUCUUACAGAAAUAGGCACUCUUUUAUUCCAGAAUAAUCACUGGGAAGGCAUACCAGGAUACGCACCGUGGUGUAAUUACAGGGGGAGUUUCGCCCCGCGCAGCCGGCAGGCUCGCUGCGUGCUCCGCGCGGCUUUUAUCUCGCCGGGGCGCGUGUAGCUCGACUGACAGAUCAUCGGCAUGUGGGUGGAAAAGGAAGGGGCUUCGGGUAGUAAGGAAGGCAAUAUAUCACUCUUUAAAGCUCUGUUAAUAAUGUUUCCCAUAAAAGAUACCCAAAGAAUAGAAGAUCUUAAAGCUACUGAAGUCCAAGGAGUCGGCCAGGGCAUACCUGAUCGCACCCCAGGCAGUAAAGGGCCUGAUUCAGCAACGCUUUGUGCCUCUGCUCGGCUAAAGUGCAUAGCUUAGGAGCAGGUGUCUUGUUUUAAAUACAUUUUAUAUCCCACACAGGUUUAAAAAUAUAUAUAUAUUCAAGCUUUUGGUAGAGCAUCUGCUGAACUGAGGCCGAAAUGCACUUCUGAGUUCAGUUGUUAGCACAAGCCGUAUUUAACAACCUUCAAAAAUAAACUAAUAAUUUCAUCAGGUGCCGAUAUGGCUAUACCUGAGCCAGGAGGAGCGUCCCCCAAAACCAGCCCGGCGGCACCCAGCCCGGUGCUGCCUGCGGUGCAGCCGGGGCCGAUGUGCCACGGGACGGCAAGGGUUAACGCGGCUCCGGCGACACCACUUCAACUCCGGGACCCAGACACGUGUGCUUAAAAGUAGCACUUCUCUCCUUAAAAUAGUUUAUGAAUCCUAGCCGGGGAUAAAUCCAACACCCCCGAGCAGAAGGAGACCUAUUAAUUCCCAGGUUUUUUUUGCGCUGUAGUAAAGCGGCGAUUUUAUUUGCACGGGCUGCGUAAGAUGUCAGUCAUGUUCCCACUCGCAUUUCCAUCUACGCUUUAACAAGGCAUUAGGUUAUUUCCAGAAGCCCCGGCCAGACCCAAGCCCACUGCGUCAAUAUUUUGUCGCUUACACAAAUGUCACCGUUAGAGUCAACACCACGUUUUAGUAUUUUUUUUUUUGUUUCUUUUAAAACACAUGGUUCCUCCGGGCUGAGGCACGUAUAGCCCUUAAGGUAACAGCGGUAACGUGAGCCCCUCGGACGGGCUCACCUGGGCGCGCAGGCGUCGCUUUAAAGGGCGAACGCCACCACUGCAGGGCACCGACCUGACCAAAGGCAUCUGCUAAUUAAUUCAUUCUUCCAAGAGACUUAACUGCCUCUUGCCGUCGGAAACCCAGGCAAAGCCGAGCCAAGUCCAGAGGCUCUCGGAAAACACGGCGAGACCCUUGCUGGCUGCAGGAGCGGCAGAGCGGGGAGCCGCCGCGAGGCAGAGGUCCAAUUUCGGCUGGCCGCGCCGCUUUCCCGCGCCCGCUUCCUCGGUGCCGCUUUGGAAAUGAAGCGGAAGCCGGUCCGGCCGGGCGAGCCGAGGCCCCACGCCCGUGGUGGUCCACGUCCUCUCCCACGGCGCGGUUUUGGGGUCUUUCUCCUACUUUGCAGCACCCGAGCGCAGGGGACAAGCCCGCUACAGACCUUCCUGUUGAUUUUGGCACUCUCUCCCCCGAAACCCUCCGAGGUUUCCUGGUCCGGCACACGCUCAGCGUAGCGGGUUCGCUCCUCCGCCGCCUGCCCGUAGCCGCUCUCCUGAGCGCGGCCCCCGAGCCAGGGGCUGCCGACAUCGCCCCAAGACCGGAGCGACGCGAGAGCUGUGAUAAAACCCCGCGCCGGGCUCCCCAGCCCUGCUCAGCGCGAGCCGGGGGGACAAGAAGUCGUCAGGAAUAACCUUCCCGCGUCAACGCCCGCAGGGAAAGCCCUGCAGGAUCUCCUCGCUGUCCUGCAUCGGAGCAGCUUUGCACGAGAACAGAGCGGCCUUGGUGCGUCAACAACACCUAAACGCCCCAGGGCUGCUGCAAGUGAGAUGCCACUAUUAUUUUUUUUAAUUUAAAACGCACUUCUUAAGCUACAGGAAAGUAAACGUUCUUCUAGGAUGGCCAAGAAAACCACGCGGGGAUUUUCCAAAUGGGUAUGACUGACUGUUUAUGAGCGGAGGGCUCCAAACGCAGAAAUAAAUGGCUCGCUCUCAGCAGGUUUUCCUUUCUAUAUUUACCCUCACCUAAAACGAGCAUUAAUGCACACUGCAACGUUUAUUCCCUCUGAUCAGGGGAGCGGGCGAAGAAACUCGCCAGCCACAACACGUCAAAUAAAUUGUUAAUCUGCUGUUUGCGUUGGGCCUGGGGGGAGGAGGGAGUCCCGGAGUUUUGGGCAGUGCCCAGGUCCAGGCUACAACUUCCAUUUCAGCUCUGCAAAAGCGCUUCGUCCCCCCCCGCAGUUUGCGGUUGCUGGGAAUCAGGAGCCGGGUCCUCCGUGGAGCCGGUCCGUCGGUCCCCGCUGCGUCUCCGGCCCCCUCCCCGAAGCAGCUCGCGGCAGCCCCGGAAAAGGGCCGGAUCCCCCUCGCGCAGCGGGAACCGAGCUCCGCAAGACGCAAGGACUUGCCCGGCGUUGCACAAGAGGCCUCGUGCAAGGCGAGGAGCUGCAACGGGCUUCGCAACCCCGGCUUCCAGGGUGUCAUCCGCCCGCUUGUCCCCGCGGGCAAUCCCUCCGAGGGACGGAUCCUCGGCACGGCCCGCCGACGCGCAAAACACCCCCACGAGACCCAGGCGGCCCUUCCCGACAAGGGGCCGAGGUGUCGCAAAGCGAAUCGCAGCGCAAGGCUGGCCACCCAGCUGCAAAGCCUCCUCCCGUAAUCCCAGCCCUGGGGGACGGGGAGGAAAAAAAGAAAAAUCACCUGAUUCUCCUAGACGUCUUCCGCAUCACGCGGCUCGCUCAGCCGCGCUCGCGCCGCUCCCCCAGCUCAAAUCUGGGCUUGACCUCCGAUUUACCUUGGGGUUUGCCGGCUGAUCGUGCCAACCGCUCGGGCGCGGCGGGCAGAGGGGCUUCGCGUUGCACCGACGCGGGGAGGACGGAGGGAUGAAACCUCCGUCGGCACCGGGGGCAGUCGGACCGACCUGCACACCCGGGCGCCGAGGACAGUGCUGGGAAGCGCCCGUGGGCUCCGGGAUGCGAAACGCUGCCCGCCCGAGCCGGGAUGGGAACAGCAUCGCAAAGGCAGGCACAACCUUGCGUUUCUUCAACUCAGGCUUUUCCCUUUUGGAAAAGCCUGUCCUCAUCAUAAUAGCUGAGUGAACCUUUCCCUGGCCCGAAAUUUCAAGAGCAUUUGUGUUAAUCCAGAUUAAUGAACAUAAAGCAAUUUAGAUAAACCGCAUUAAGCCAAAACGC
Long non-coding RNA from Dromaius novaehollandiae (emu), 6513 nucleotides. RefSeq lists it as uncharacterized. The transcript is spliced from 2 exons. The record is from RefSeq and is a predicted model, not a curated record. Lineage: Eukaryota; Metazoa; Chordata; Aves; Casuariiformes; Dromaiidae.